This 1146-nucleotide ribosomal RNA is filed under the name uncultured organism. RNAcentral's name for it is "bacterial SSU rRNA". It matches the Rfam family "Bacterial small subunit ribosomal RNA", at positions 210 to 1388 of the family's 1533-position model. The record is from RNAcentral.
GGAGAGUGUUUGAGGAGGGAUCUGCGGCCCAUCAGCUAGUUGGUGAGGUAACGGCUCACCAAGGCGAAGACGGGUAGGGGGUGUGAGAGCAUGGCCCCCCACAAUGGGACUGAGACACGGGCCAUACUCCUACGGGAGGCAGCAGCGGGGAAUAUUGCGCAAUGGACGGAAGUCAGACGCAGCGACGCCGCGUGGGUGAGGAAGGCCUUCGGGUUGUAAAGCCCUUUUCAGGGGAGCGAGAAAGGACGGUACCCUUGGAAUAAGCGUCGGCUAACUACGUGCCAGCAGCCGCGGUAAGACGUAGGACGCAAGCGUUAUCCGGAUUUACUGGGCGUAAAGCGCCUGUAGGCGGUCAAGUAAGUCGGAUGUGAAAGCCCCGUGCUCAACGCGGGGAAGCCAUUCGAUACUGCGUGACUAGAGAACGGCAGAGGGAAACGGAAUUUCUGGUGUAGCGGUAAAAUGCGCAGAGAUCAGAAAGAACACCGAUGGCGAAGGCAGUUUCCUAGGCCGCAUCUGACGCUGAGAGGCGAAAGCUAGGGGAGCAAACAGGAUUAGAGACCCUGGUAGUCCUAGCUGUAAACGAUGGAUGCUAGGUGUGGGCCGGAAAGGUCCGUGCCGUAGUUAACGCGAUAAGCAUCCCGCCUGGGGAGUACGGCCGCAAGGCUAAAACUCAAACGAAUUGACGGGGACCCGCACAAGCAGCGGAGCGUGUGGUUUAAUUCGAUGCUACACGCAGAACCUUACCUGGGCUUGACAUGUAGGUGGUAGUGAAGUGAAAGCGGAGCGACCCUUCGGGGAGCCUACACAGGUGCUGCAUGGCUGUCGUCAGCUCGUGCCGUGAGGUGUCGGGUUAAGUCCCGUAACGAGCGCAACCCUUGUCCUUAGUUACAAGUGUCUAAGGAGACUGCCGGUGACAAACCGGAGGAAGGUGGGGAUGACGUCAAGUCAGCAUGGCCCUUAUGUCCAGGGCGACACACACGCUACAAUGGUCGGUACAAUGGGCAGCGCAGCCGCGAGGUGAAGCGAGUCCCAACAAAGCCGAUCCCAGUUCGGAUUGCAGGCUGCAACCCGCCUGCAUGAAGCCGGAGUUGCUAGUAACCGCGCGUCAGCCAUAGUCCGGUGAAUACGUUCCCGGGUCUUGUACAC